Long non-coding RNA from Ipomoea nil (Japanese morning glory), 99 nucleotides. RefSeq lists it as uncharacterized. NCBI's taxonomy places the organism in Eukaryota, Viridiplantae, Streptophyta, Magnoliopsida, Solanales, Convolvulaceae. The record is from RefSeq and is a predicted model, not a curated record. The transcript is spliced from 3 exons.
AUUCAGUAUCAAAGAAAUUCAGAUUUGGAUUUAGUUAUAAAUACAACAAAAAGCAGCAAAUAGGAUUCAAUAAGAGUGCAAAUAACCAAGAAGAAAACU